RNAcentral lists this ribosomal RNA (252 nucleotides) under uncultured bacterium. RNAcentral's name for it is "partial 16S ribosomal RNA". It matches the Rfam family "Archaeal small subunit ribosomal RNA", at positions 474 to 727 of the family's 1478-position model. The record is from RNAcentral.
UACCAGCACCCCGAGUGGUCGGGACGUUUAUUGGGCCUAAAGCAUCCGUAGCCGGUUCUACAAGUCUUCCGUUAAAUCCAACUGCUUAACAGGUGGGCUGCGGAAGAUACUAUAGAGCUAGGAGGCGGGAGAGGCAAGCGGUACUCGAUGGGUAGGGGUAAAAUCCGUUGAUCCAUUGAAGACCACCAGUGGCGAAGGCGGCUUGCCAGAACGCGCUCGACGGUGAGGGAUGAAGCUGGGGGAGCAAACCGG